Long non-coding RNA from Monomorium pharaonis (pharaoh ant), 1112 nucleotides. RefSeq lists it as uncharacterized. The record is from RefSeq and is a predicted model, not a curated record. NCBI's taxonomy places the organism in Eukaryota, Metazoa, Arthropoda, Insecta, Hymenoptera, Formicidae. The transcript is spliced from 2 exons.
UAGUACGAAUUUGAUACAAAUAUGGUACCUGAUACGCGUAUCAAAUGCACGAUGUAAACUAAGCCAUAGAUACACAAAAUACUGAUGUUAAGGCAUUGAUGAUAGCUAUACCAAGAUUGCCAAAUUGUGCUGGAAAUGGCUAAAACUACCGGAAGUUUAACGGAAAAUGGCGGAGCCAAUCACAAUCGAGAGCGGUAUUGGCACAACUCUCCUUAUAGGAAUUCUAUAACAUUUGCGCCAUCAACGCCAAUGCCAAGGAGAUUUUCUAAUUUUAAACCAUCUCUUUUCAAUUGGUCCGAAAACUUCAAACGAGUAUCUGCUGUUUCUAUUUCAAUGAGUCUAUAGAAACUUAAUAUAAAUUCUGUACUCUUUCAUCGAUAAUCGCAGAAUAAAACUCACCACCAAUAUCGUUGAUUAAAUCGUCAAGCAUGCAUGGGGCAAUCACAGUUUUCAUCAACGAUGUACAAUUUCGUUCUGUACAAUUAUUUGAUGUCCUGUAAAUGUGCAAUACAUGCGUAAAAACCACUUGGAAUAAGUUGCCAGCACGUAUUUUGUUCAUGUCGUAUGUAUACUACGUUAUAUAUAUAUAUAUAUAUACACACACACACGCGGACAAGAAUGCCUAGCUAUAUGAAAUGAGCUGCAUUAACGCGUAACAGAAGAGCUUAUGUGGUGGCCCUAAAUCGGAUCGUGGUCGGAUAGAUAUACUCUUGAAAGUUUUCUCUUUAUCAUGAUUAUCUGUUUUCUACAAUAGCACUUUCAUGUACAAAAUUAUAUAAGUUAGAUACUUGCUAACCAUGUAUUUCAAUUAGUAUAGAAAGAAAUUUGAAAAUUGUACUAAAAGUUACAAAAUAAAUUUUCUAAGAUAUAAAAUGUAGUUUAAAAAAUUAUAUAAAAAAUUGAAAAAAAAAAAUUAUCAGAAAGUACUGCGAUUAACAAUGCACAGUCGAAUAUAAGUUAGAGUUGUAUACACAGGUUUUUUAAAUAUAUUUCUUCAAUGUUUAAAUGAGCAAGGUGAGAAAAAAGAACAAGAAAAAAGAGAAGGAAAACGCUUGUAGACACACAAGAUUUAUCUUUUAUUAAAGACAGAUAUAAAAAUAAAUUUUGAUUUC